RNAcentral lists this ribosomal RNA (742 nucleotides) under Salmonella enterica. RNAcentral describes it as "bacterial SSU rRNA". It matches the Rfam family "Bacterial small subunit ribosomal RNA", at positions 1 to 732 of the family's 1533-position model. The record is from RNAcentral. Lineage: Bacteria; Pseudomonadati; Pseudomonadota; Gammaproteobacteria; Enterobacterales; Enterobacteriaceae.
AAAUUGAAGAGUUUGAUCAUGGCUCAGAUUGAACGCUGGCGGCAGGCCUAACACAUGCAAGUCGAACGGUAACAGGAAGCAGCUUGCUGCUUCGCUGACGAGUGGCGGACGGGUGAGUAAUGUCUGGGAAACUGCCUGAUGGAGGGGGAUAACUACUGGAAACGGUGGCUAAUACCGCAUAACGUCGCAAGACCAAAGAGGGGGACCUUCGGGCCUCUUGCCAUCAGAUGUGCCCAGAUGGGAUUAGCUUGUUGGUGAGGUAACGGCUCACCAAGGCGACGAUCCCUAGCUGGUCUGAGAGGAUGACCAGCCACACUGGAACUGAGACACGGUCCAGACUCCUACGGGAGGCAGCAGUGGGGAAUAUUGCACAAUGGGCGCAAGCCUGAUGCAGCCAUGCCGCGUGUAUGAAGAAGGCCUUCGGGUUGUAAAGUACUUUCAGCGGGGAGGAAGGUGUUGUGGUUAAUAACCGCAGCAAUUGACGUUACCCGCAGAAGAAGCACCGGCUAACUCCGUGCCAGCAGCCGCGGUAAUACGGAGGGUGCAAGCGUUAAUCGGAAUUACUGGGCGUAAAGCGCACGCAGGCGGUCUGUCAAGUCGGAUGUGAAAUCCCCGGGCUCAACCUGGGAACUGCAUUCGAAACUGGCAGGCUUGAGUCUUGUAGAGGGGGGUAGAAUUCCAGGUGUAGCGGUGAAAUGCGUAGAGAUCUGGAGGAAUACCGGUGGCGAAGGCGGCCCCCUGG